UACGAAGGGGGCUAGCGUUGCUCGGAAUCACUGGGCGUAAAGCGCACGUAGGCGGCUUUUUAAGUCAGGGGUGAAAUCCUGGAGCUCAACUCCAGAACUGCCUUUGAUACUGAGAAGCUUGAGUCCGGGAGAGGUGAGUGGAACUGCGAGUGUAGAGGCGAAAUUCGUAGAUAUUCGCAAGAACACCAGUGGCGAAGGCGGCUCACUGGCCCGGUACUGACGCUGAGGUGCGAAAGCGUGGGGAGCAAACAGG
This 253-nucleotide ribosomal RNA is filed under the name uncultured bacterium. Its description in RNAcentral is "partial 16S ribosomal RNA". It matches the Rfam family "Bacterial small subunit ribosomal RNA", at positions 524 to 776 of the family's 1533-position model. The record is from RNAcentral.